This 383-nucleotide ribosomal RNA is filed under the name uncultured eukaryote. Its description in RNAcentral is "partial 18S ribosomal RNA". It matches the Rfam family "Eukaryotic small subunit ribosomal RNA", at positions 592 to 976 of the family's 1831-position model. The record is from RNAcentral.
CAAUAGCGUAUAUUAAAGUUGUUGCAGUUAAAAAGCUCGUAGUUGGAUUUCUGGUGGGAGCGAUCGGUCUGGCGCUUAGCGCGAGUACUUGCAUCGUCUCCGGCCAUCCUUGGGGAGAGUCUGUCUGGCAUUAAGUUGUCGGGCAGAGGAUCCUCAUCGUUUACUGUGAAAAAAUUAGAGUGAUCAAAGCAGGCUUAUGCCGUUGAAUAUAUUAGCAUGGAAUAAUAAGAUAGGACUUUGGUACUAUUUUGUUGGUUUGCGCACCAAAGUAAUGAUUAAUAGGGACAGUUGGGGGUAUUCGUAUUCCGUUGUCAGAGGUGAAAUUCUUGGAUUUACGGAAGACGAACUACUGCGAAAGCAUUUACCAAGGAUGUUUUCAUUAA